This 683-nucleotide ribosomal RNA is filed under the name uncultured eukaryote. RNAcentral's name for it is "SSU rRNA". It matches the Rfam family "Eukaryotic small subunit ribosomal RNA", at positions 591 to 1294 of the family's 1831-position model. The record is from RNAcentral.
CUCAUAGCGUAUAUUUAAGUUGUUGCAGUUAAAAAGCUCGUAGUCGGAUUUUGGCUGAGAACGGUCGGUCCGCCGUUAGGUGUGCACUGACUGGUCUCAGCUUCCUGGUGAGGAGGUGUGCUUCAUCGCCACUUAGUCACCGUGGUUACUUUGAAAAAAUUAGAGUGUUCAAAGCGGGCUUACGCUUGAAUAUAUUAGCAUGGAAUAACACCAUAGGACUCCUGUCCUAUUUCGUUGGUCUCGGGACGGGAGUAAUGAUUAAGAGGAACAGUUGGGGGCAUUCGUAUUUCAUUGUCAGAGGUGAAAUUCUUGGAUUUAUGAAAGACGAACUUCUGCGAAAGCAUUUGCCAAGGAUGUUUUCAUUGAUCAAGAACGAAAGUUGGGGGCUCGAAGAUGAUUAGAUACCAUCCUAGUCUCAACCAUAAACGAUGCCGACUAGGGAUUGGCGGAUGUUAAUUGAUGACUUCGCCAGCACCUUAUGAGAAAUCAAAGUUUUUGGGUUCCGGGGGGAGUAUGGUCGCAAGGCUGAAACUUAAAGGAAUUGACGGAAGGGCACCACCAGGCGUGGAGCCUGCGGCUUAAUUUGACUCAACACGGGGAAACUUACCAGGUCCAGACAUAGUAAGGAUUGACAGAUUGAGAGCUCUUUCUUGAUUCUAUGGAUGGUGGUGCAUGGCCGUUCU